Molecule: long non-coding RNA, 338 nt
Organism: Sander lucioperca (pikeperch)
Lineage: Eukaryota; Metazoa; Chordata; Actinopteri; Perciformes; Percidae
Exons: 3
Source: RefSeq, a predicted model, not a curated record
AUGUAGUCAGAGUUACGUAGAGGUGGAGAUGUAGUCAGAGUAACAUAGUGGUGGAGAUGUAGUCUGAGUAACGUAGUGGUGGAGAUGUAGUCUGAGUAACGUAGAGGUGGAGACGUUGUCUGAGUAACGUAGAGGUGGAGAUGUAGACAGAGUAACGUAGAGAUGGAGAUGUAGUCUGAGUAACGUAGAGGUGGAGGUGGAGAUGUAGUCAGAGUAAUGUGGAGAUGUAGUCAGAGUAACAUAGAGAUGGAGAUGUAGUCUGAGUAACGUAGAGGUGGAGUUGUCGUCAGAGUAACGUGGAGAUGUAGUCAGAGUAACGUAGAGGUGGAGAUGUAGUC